This 84-nucleotide transfer RNA is filed under the name Candidatus Parcubacteria bacterium. Its description in RNAcentral is "tRNA-Leu". It matches the Rfam family "tRNA". Rfam says of the family: Transfer RNA (tRNA) molecules are approximately 80 nucleotides in length. Their secondary structure includes four short double-helical elements and three loops (D, anti-codon, and T loops). Further hydrogen bonds mediate the characteristic L-shaped molecular structure. tRNAs have two regions of fundamental functional importance: the anti-codon, which is responsible for specific mRNA codon recognition, and the 3' end, to which the tRNAs corresponding amino acid is attached (by aminoacyl-tRNA synthetases). tRNAs cope with the degeneracy of the genetic code in two manners: having more than one tRNA (with a specific anti-codon) for a particular amino acid; and 'wobble' base-pairing, i.e. permitting non-standard base-pairing at the 3rd anti-codon position. Lineage: Bacteria; Candidatus Parcubacteria. The record is from RNAcentral.
GCCGGGGUGCUGAAAUUGGCAGACAGGGUGGACUUAAAAUCCGCUGAGCGUAAGCUCGUGUGGGUUCGAAUCCCACCCCCGGCA